Long non-coding RNA from Halichondria panicea, 1962 nucleotides. RefSeq lists it as uncharacterized. NCBI's taxonomy places the organism in Eukaryota, Metazoa, Porifera, Demospongiae, Suberitida, Halichondriidae. The transcript is spliced from 4 exons. The record is from RefSeq and is a predicted model, not a curated record.
AACAACAAUCACGGUCGAUCAUUACCAACUCAGCAAAAUUAAAUUGUUUAUCAUGUGCUAUUAGUAGCUAUUAGUAGCUUUAUGUUAUGUAGCUUUGGUAUCUCCACCGAGGCAUCAGCACCUGCGGUGCUUUCAUUGUAUCUAGAAUUUGUAGUACUAAGAACCCUUCAUCAUCUUUCUUUGUGUGUACAGAGUAUUGCUGGAUCACAGAUGCGUGUGAUUCUCAGGUGGUGGAGCAGUCAACCAAACGUACGUGUCACAAGAAACAGUCUGAUGUUGGGUUUCCACCAUGGCAGAGCCAGACACCACACUCGUUACAUCUGUCAGUCUUCUUGUUGGAGUCCUUCCAGCAGAACGCACACCAUCCCCGUUUACAUCUCUUUGCAGGUGGUUGCAGGCACAUGUUUUGACAACAUACUCACCAAGUCCAACCUGUCUCUUCUUUUGCUUCCCCGUGUAUAUGUCAAAUUUGUGGAAAUAGCCGUUAGCACUAUCUGCCAAUACCCAUACCUUGAUCCCCCGUUUGAUCAGUUUCAUAGGCAUAUUAUAUUGCUUUAAGGAAGACUGCCCCUGAAACUUAAUCAUUGCUUCGUCCACUGCUACAUUCUGUGUAGGGUUGUACAAAGCUUCGAACCUCUCACCCAGGUGCUGAAUGAGGGGGCGGAUCUUCCCUAACCGAUUGUACGAGGGGUCACCUCGUGGAACAAGAUGGUCGUUGUCCACGAAGUGCAGAUACUGGGAGAUAUCACGGAAUCUCUGCCUUGAGAUUACAUCGGCGAUGGGUGCAUAGUGGUCUCGGCUCCAAUAGUCAUUGAUCGAUGGCAGGUGAUUGAGUCCCAUGAGGAUGGAGAAUCCGAAGAAGGCCCAGAGCUCUUAAACUGUGUGUUGAGUCCACGUUCGGUAUGCCUCCUCUCCCAUUACAUGUCUAGCGUAGUUGUUGCUCUCACACACAAUGUGUUCCUGCAGAUCAUUGUUAAAAAAUAGCAGAAACACUUCUUCUGGCCUCUCUGAGAUGUCCACUGUUGGUCCUACUGCUGACUCAAAUGACUUGAUAGUCAGGGUGUGCAAUUCACUCCUCCAGGAUUGCUGUCUGUUGACGGGGGCUCCAUUUCUACAUGUUCCUCAUCAUUCAAGAUGUCUUGUAGAACCUCCUCCGUGGUCCAGUGUGGCCUCUUGGCCUGCAGCUCUAUAUUAUUAUUAAAAAAUGUUUGUUCAUGUUAUAAAUAUUUUGUGUUUGUUGGGUGGUAUAAAAACAACAGUAGUAUUCAAGCGUCUGUAUCAAAAAAAUUUCUGUAUGAUAUAAGCUUUUCACUUUAUAUGGGUACCUUGAAGGUGGAUAGAAUUAGAAGGCGUCCUAGCUUCAGUCCAACAGCAGCCCCACCCAGAUUCUUUAGCAGCCAGGACUGCUGCAGCUGACACCUAUUGGUAGAGAUGUCAGACUGAAAGUAGUGAGUGGGAGUAUUUUCUUACAGUAAAUUCAAUGGUAAGAAACAGGACUAGAAAGUGAGUGAACAAGAAGGGCUUUCCACAGCAAGCCCUGGAAGAGUCUAGCAAACAACAGCUGUUCCCAGGGGUAAAAAUAGUGUAGAAUUUAAUUUUUAGAACAGUUUUUAUGAUUUUAGCAUUUGGUGUUUGUUUUGUGUGUGAUUUUUUCUCAAAGGUGAUCAUCAUUUUGGCAACCAAAUAUUGUGCAAGGAAACUAAACCUUCUGUGGAUGAUUUGAUUGGUUGUUGUGGUUGCGAAAUUUUGUUGCACAGUCUGGUUUGGUGAUGAUGUGUGAUUUGAUUAUAAUUAUUUGUCUGGUCAGGAGUGCAUUCAUUCCUGGUCUGGUAUUAUGAUGAUAAUAAUGAUCUGAAUUAAUUGGUGGUCUUCGCUGUUGAAUUGAUUUGUUGUUGUGGGAAUUUCUCAUCUCUUCCGGUUCCCUGCACAGCACAAACAGCUAUGGGUGUAAUUUUGUUGUCU